Molecule: long non-coding RNA, 1383 nt
Filed under: Chrysolophus pictus (golden pheasant)
Lineage: Eukaryota; Metazoa; Chordata; Aves; Galliformes; Phasianidae
Description: lncRNA (ENSCPIG00010014144.1)
Source: RNAcentral
AAGAGCUAAAUGAAGCACAAAAUGUUCCAGGAGUGCCUGACUCACAGUAAAUGGCAGCCAGUCUUUGCUGAGGGCAGCAGCCAUGAGACUAUGGCCUGGAAAGUGAGGAAAAGAAACACUAAUGGCCUGGAAACAUAUGGCCCACAAAAGGAGCAGAAACAUCUUCCCUCCUACCACCCCACUGAGUCUCCAGAAAGAAUUCUUCUUUUCAUUGUGUUCAUCCUGCAUCACUGACACUCUCAUGAAAUCAUGAAUUUACAUCAGCCAAGUUCCUCGGUGAAAGAAAUUAACAUACUGGACUGUUUUGCAAGAUCUCUUUGGAUCAACUGCCCUGAGCAGUAAAUAUGAAGGGUAACUGUGGCCAUGGACAUGAACCAGCAUUGAUGUAAAGAAUGUGUUCAACGCUGACACCUAAGGAGUUUGAAUUGGAUCCUUUCCUGCUGCUCCAAGAUGCAUGGAAAAUACUGAUCCUGUUCCCCACUAAAGGCAUUGGGAACUCUGCUGUUGAUUUACUGCUCAGAACAGGCACUGCAGAUUUAGAGGAAUUCUUCAGGAGAGCAGAGAAAACUGGUGGCAGGCUCCAUAGCCUGAGAAGGAAAUCGGUUGGAAAAGUGGCAACUAUUUCUUAAAAUCAGAAAGUAAAAAGAUUGAAUGUAAUGAUGCUGGGCCAAAUGUUUCUAUUUCUGGGUGGCAAGAGUGGAAAGAAAUGAUGCAGACUUGAGGGAGGAGGGGGCAAAACAUAUUUUCCAAACUUUCUGCAAAAGGGGAGUUCCACAAAAAAAAAAAAAGAAAAGAAAAAAGAAUUGGAACAGAAACAUUGUCCAGGAAAACUUUAAAAGUCAUUGUGGAGGAUGUCUAAGCUUCAGGACAUCAGGGGCCAGAGUUCCCAGGACCUCUUGUUUCCUACCUGUGGCCAACCCAGCAAUGACUUGCCCUGGAGUGAGAAUGACAGCAGCAAUUCCCUUUCCCAUUACCACAUCAGGCAGCCCAGCAGGAAAACACUUCAGGACUCAUCUUACAUAUUCCUUAUCAGAAGACUGUCAAACAGACACAUUUCCUAAAGACACUGUCAUUCUGAAUUGCCCUUUUCUAAUCUGUUUCACUGGAAAAUUCCUGAAGUGCCCUAACUACUAUUCAAGGAUGCAAAAGAAACUGAAAGGAUGCUCACAGAAGUGGGUGGCUGAUGUUACAGCAUGGGUGGUGCAGUGGCCUUGGUUUCCCCUAAGGAUGACUUGUCCUUGGAUGGGCUGCCAGUUCGCUCUGUCACAAGCUGUGGCUUUUCACAGCUGCCGAAGAGGGGAGCUCUGCAAGCACUGCCUCUUAGGAUGCACCUGGUGGAGAGACAGAGAAUGCAGCAGCAGCAGAAGCUCAACAGCAUCCUAA